AGCUCAAAUUUGAAAUCUGGCUCUCGGGCCCGAGUUGUAAUUUGUAGAGGAUGCUUUUGAUGCGGUGCCUUCCGAGUUCCCUGGAACGGGACGUCACAGAGGGUGAGAAUCCCGU
Molecule: ribosomal RNA, 115 nt
Filed under: Fusarium sp.
Lineage: Eukaryota; Fungi; Ascomycota; Sordariomycetes; Hypocreales; Nectriaceae
Description: partial large subunit ribosomal RNA
Source: RNAcentral